GGACUGGAGCAGCUGCAGCUGAGCUAGGUGUGGAUUCCACUAUCUCUUUGGAGGCCAAAAGAGUACGAGCAAGGAUGUCCAAAGAAUCUGGGCUCUAAGCAGCUUCUUGUUCCUGAGUUAAUCCAGUCUGCGUCCAUGUGUAACAGACCGUCAGUCCUAGUUGGUUCACCUGUCUCAAAAACCUGCUCCUGGAUUGUGAUUUCCAGGGAGCAGGAGCCAAAUGUUAAGAUGCCCGCUGCCAAAGAGGAAACUGCUGAAAAAAAUAAAAG
Molecule: long non-coding RNA, 269 nt
Organism: Oreochromis aureus
Lineage: Eukaryota; Metazoa; Chordata; Actinopteri; Cichliformes; Cichlidae
Exons: 4
Source: RefSeq, a predicted model, not a curated record